This 205-nucleotide long non-coding RNA is filed under the name Struthio camelus australis. RNAcentral describes it as "lncRNA (ENSSCUG00000002195.1)". Lineage: Eukaryota; Metazoa; Chordata; Aves; Struthioniformes; Struthionidae. The record is from RNAcentral.
CUUUAUACUACCAGGGGGAUGUCGGUACAAGCAGAGGAUCUCAUUCAGAACAUAGAAGACUGUGAAAUGUGACCACUGCUCACCAUGGAAUGGGACAUUUCUGUCACCUCUCCUCUCUCUUCUGUAAUAGCAAUAUCUGUCUGCUGUAUGCUGGAUAAUAAUCUUAUACCAGAAAAUUGCAGAGAUGUAACAAAAUCCAGUCGAG